UUUAUCAUGUUGUCUCUUGUCUGUUUCUAGCUUUUUCUUUGUUUGUCUCUGUACAAAUUAUUUUUUAAAAGGUCAAAUCACAGUUUUAAUUUCUUCAUACCAACUAAUUUUCUUUUUCUUUUUUAUUUCUAGAAGAAAACCCUCCCCCCCAAAAAAACUUAUAAAAACCUCAAAAAAAAAAAACAAAACGAAAAAAAUAAAAAUAAAAAGAAGAAAACCCUCCCCCCAAAAAACUAAUAAAAACCUCAAAAAAUAAAAAAAAUAAAAAAAAUAAAAACGGGAAAAAAAAAAAAGAAGAAAACCCUCCCCUCAAAAAAACUAAGAAAACCCCCAAAAAAAUAAAAAAACGCAAAAAAAAGAGAAAGAAAAAAAACUACCUCCAAAAAACAAAAAAAAAAAAAAGAAAUAAAUCCCUACAAAAAUGAGAAAAUGUCAAGAUCAUAAUUUGUAAUACAGGGAUAAGCCCUGGGGAACCCACCACCUGCAGUGCCUGGGCUAUUGAUCACCCCAUAGGAAUGAUUACAUUUCGAUUACCAUAUAGCAUGGGACAUUUUCGCUACUUUAGUGGACCCAAUGAGGAAAUCGGGGACUGGAGGAUAUUAUACAUAAGAACUUCAUUGACAUAUUUGUCCCAUUCUUCCCCAUGGAGUUUCAGCACGUGAAGAUGUGUGUGAAGGCGGAGCUUGCGCGUCGCAGCAUGACGACAGAUGAAGAGACGGCAGCCAUCAUUGCCAGAGACAUGACCUAUUACUCCCCUGGGCUGCAAAACUGUAUUACUAUGAUGGAUGACGGAUCCAUAUUCCUCCACCAUGCGGCCUUUAUUCCUCGCCUGCUCAUUGGCCAAUAAAGAGAUGACAUUUUCUCAGACCAUAAAACUAACUUGUCGCAUAUGUUUACUGAGUCCCAUAUUGUUCCCUAAAGUGGACAGACAUUUUAGAUGCAGACCGCUCAGUGAAUGCUGAGUUUUUCCAGUAAGAUGAUCCCUAUUGAUAAAGAUGUGAAUAUACAAGUAAUGAUGAAUUGGUUUCUAUGUGAAUGCUGAAUAAUUCUUAUACCAUUAAUGGAAAUCUGUCACCAGUGUCACCUGCACCAACCUGUCGGU
This is a long non-coding RNA of Hyla sarda, 1102 nucleotides long. RefSeq lists it as uncharacterized. NCBI's taxonomy places the organism in Eukaryota, Metazoa, Chordata, Amphibia, Anura, Hylidae. The record is from RefSeq and is a predicted model, not a curated record. The transcript has 6 exons.